UACGUAGGGGGCGAGCGUUGUCCGGAUUUAUUGGGCGUAAAGGGCGCGUAGGCGGUCGUGACAAGUCACUUGUGAAAUCUCCGGGCUUAACUCGGAACGGUCAAGUGAUACUGUCGGACUAGAGUACAGAAGGGGCAACUGGAAUUCUCGGUGUAGCGGUGAAAUGCGUAGAUAUCGAGAGGAACACCUGCGGCGAAGGCGGGUUGCUGGGCUGAUACUGACGCUGAGGCGCGAAAGCCAGGGGAGCGAACGGG
RNAcentral lists this ribosomal RNA (254 nucleotides) under uncultured bacterium. RNAcentral's name for it is "partial 16S ribosomal RNA". It matches the Rfam family "Bacterial small subunit ribosomal RNA", at positions 524 to 776 of the family's 1533-position model. The record is from RNAcentral.